UGUAAUUGCGUUUCCCCGUAAAACAAACAAACAAACUCUCCCGAUUCUGGCGACUCUCUCUCUCUCUCAGACUCUCACAAGUCCGUCCUGAAGAGCAGAAUCGUGUCGUAGUGUGUCGUGGCGGCAAUGCGAGAGGAACAUAAUCCAGGUAGGGACGGUCGUCGAAGUGGAGGACUGAGGUCGUUGAUAGAGCCUCGCUUCUUGUCAUCGUUUGCUUUAAACGACGGUGGUUCGAUUUCUGGACGGAGAUCUUCCUACCUGAAACUUCCUCCUCAGGGUCGUAUCAAGCUUUCCGUCGUUAAGCUCAACGGUUCCCUUUUCGCAGAUGUGGAAGUCGCAAAGGAUUGCUCGGUGGCAGAGCUCAAAAGAGCUGUGGAACAAGUUUUCACCAUUUCUCCUCUGGAAGGCCACGGCAGGAUUUCAUGGUCCCACGUCUGGGGUCAUUUUUGCUUGUGUUAUCGUGACCAGAGAUUACUCAAUGACAAGACUAGCAUCCGUUAUCUCGGUCUCAAUGAUGGGGAUCAAUUACAUUUCGUAAGGCAUUUGUCCAUAGACCACUCUCCUAUGAACAAAAGAUCCAAGAGCCCCAGUUGCAAGCGCUACCUUGAGUUGGAAAUGGAAUCCGAAGCCAACGAAAUCCAAAUACAAAACCAAUACCAGAACAGUAUGGAUGAUGUAGCUGAGAAGUGUUACCCAGGAGCACAAGACGAGUUACCGGCAGCAGAAUUCAGACUAGUGAACCUAAUCAAAGGAUGGUUGCCUUAUGCUGGACGUUGGGGAGUGUCCAGAACAGGACCUGAGAGUCGCAGUGGUCCUUCCAGAUUUUCUUUGAAGCAUUUCGGUGGCAGGCCCAAGAUGUAAAACCGAUUGAUUCAAAGGAUCUAUUGUUUGUCUUCAUGCAUUACGAAAGCUGAAAGAAGAAACUCAGAAACCGUGGAAGGAAGUGCAGAAGUCGGCAGCAAGUGUCAAACCAUAGCAAGGCUCAAGACUUUCAUUCUCGAUCUUUUCCGCAUGUUGUCAUGAGCGGAGAGUGUACCACUCAAUAAAUUAGUAUCCAAGACUCCAAGGCACAGCCACUAAGGUUGUUACAGGUCAGGAUUGGAUUCUACUUUCUAAAGGGAAUGGAAUGAGUAAUGACUGAUGGAUAUCUGCAUGUGGGUCUAAUCUAGUAUUGGAUGUGUGAUGGUCUCAGAGUCCUGCAUGCACUGGACUGUAACAUCAAAAGGUGAGAGCGUUGUGCAUACAGUAACUUACACUAUCUGCCAACAGUAAAAAAAAAAAACGCAAAGAAGUGGGAUCUUAGAUUCCCAUUCUGAUUAGAGUUGAUGUCACUGUUAGAGGAGAGCACAGAGUCACAUGGUCAAGUCCCUCUCUUUCAACUUAAAAAAGGAAAAAGAAAAUAAGAUUCGAAGUAAAUGAAAGAGAGGCAGAGGAGGGAGAUCUUGGGUAGUGAUUGUCCUCCCAAGAUUUGGUGUCCUUCGCUGUCUCUUUUGAAAUUAACUGCACGAAAGAUAUUUGUGAGGUACGCAUUCCUUUGUGUUUCGUUUUCAAACUUCAUCAUCUAUUACAAGUUACAACUACUUUUUUGGAGUUUUUUUUUAACAAUUCGUGUAUGUAAAAAACAAAGUUACUUUGAUUUA
Molecule: non-coding RNA, 1640 nt
Organism: Camelina sativa (false flax)
Lineage: Eukaryota; Viridiplantae; Streptophyta; Magnoliopsida; Brassicales; Brassicaceae
Source: RefSeq, a predicted model, not a curated record